Long non-coding RNA from Calypte anna (Anna's hummingbird), 1399 nucleotides. RefSeq lists it as uncharacterized. The transcript is spliced from 3 exons. Lineage: Eukaryota; Metazoa; Chordata; Aves; Apodiformes; Trochilidae. The record is from RefSeq and is a predicted model, not a curated record.
GGCACGGCGGGGACAACGUUCUGCUGGUACCGAACCGAACUCGACGGGUCUCGGGGAGCUGCUGGGUUCAUCCUCCCUUCCCAUCAGAGCUUGGCCACCUGCCUUGCAAUGGAGCAACAGAACUGAGUUGUGGGUUGGCUUAGGCUUGCAUCAUCAUACCCAACCAGACUGCAUCUCCACUCCUCUGGAACUGACUCCAUGCCUCAACUGAUAAAAAAAAAAAAAAGCUGAUACUGAUAAAAGAAGCUGUGGAAACAUGGAUCCUUGGGGCAAGGUGGUUUUACCACAUCCUCUCCCUUUAUUGCCUGGUCCUCUGGAAGACAAAAGAAUGCGACUCAGCAGUGCAUCAUUAUCCUGCCACCUGUUUGAGAACUGCUUCAACAGCCAAGAGAAGAAAAUACAGUGAUGUGGCCCCAGCAAGCACAUCCUCUUUGUAAUGAUUUACACUUGCACUGUGAUCCCAACCAGGAGUGAUGCUCAGACCUCCCUCUGGCUACCUUUGUGCUAUUCUCUUACUGUAGCAAGACUUUUUUUUUCCCCAACACACAAGUGCCCAUGUAAAAAUACCAAGAUUCUCCAUGGAGUUUACAGUAGGUUUACAAAUUAAGAAAAGGCUGGUGCAGAACAAAAGGAAAAUUGAAUUAUCCCAGCGACUUGGCACUGCCUGGUAAACAAAGUCCUCUCUCUACAGGUGUUUUGUGGGACACACACUCAGGAAGGCCUGGGAGAAUUUUUCUUGUGUGGAGACUGCAGGAACUGCCCCCAGCAAAGCAUCCUGUGCUAAAAAUGGUGAGCAGUAAGCAAUGGGGGAGCUCUUUGGGGGGAAAAAGCAGGAAGAAAUCUUGGUGAGAGUUUGAUCCUUGGUGGUGUCUGUCACCUUUUAUAGUUGAGUGACUGACAAGGAAAAGAGGUGAACUGAAUCACCUGGAGUAGGGAUGCUUCCCAUUGCAGAGCAGAAGAAAUCAGGGAGCUGCUCCUUCCCAUUAAAUCCAAUACAGAUCUAGUAAAGAUAAAGAUUAAUUUCUAUGAUAAAGAUUAUGAUAAAGAUUAAUAUCUAAAAACCAACUGUAAACCUAUAGGUCAGGUGGUAAGACUGUGACUUGACAGAUUUUGCAUUGCCAAGUGUCUGAUAAUUUCAUGCCUUCAAUCUGCAUCACUGCAGGCAGUGUUACUGUUGAUUCAAGUUUGUCACUGUGAAUUCAGUUGUUUUCCACAAGUGGAUUAUGAACAGAAACUUUUGAUUUCUCUUAAUUAUAUAUAUUUGAAUGGAAAGCUAUUAUAUUAUUUAUAUAUAUACUUAAUAAUAAUGUAUCUUUGAAUAAAAAUCUAUUGUGUAUAUAUAUAUAUAUUUAAUAGCAGGACAUGUAACAAACAUUUAUUUUUAUUAAAGUAAUAAAAA